Caenorhabditis elegans is the source of this 68-nucleotide transfer RNA. Lineage: Eukaryota; Metazoa; Nematoda; Chromadorea; Rhabditida; Rhabditidae. The record is from Ensembl.
GGUCCUGUAGUGGUUAUCACGUCUGCUUCAUACACAGAAGGUCGCCGGUUCGAACCCGGCCAGGACCU